GCAACAUCAUCUACGAUCGCCAAGAUAUGGAAGCUGCCUAACUGUCCAUCCAUAGAUGAAUGGAUAAAAAAGAGUGUGAGCAGGGGAAGAACAGAGAGAAAAGGAGACACAGAAUCCGAAGCAGGCUCCAGGCUCUGAGCUGUCAGCACAGAGCCCGACAUGGGGCUCAAACCCACGGACUACGAGAUCAUGACCCGAGCUGAAGUGGGACGCUCAACCGACUGAGCCACCCAGGCGCCCCCCAAUUUUUUUUUUUUAAAGAAAGGAUUUUCUACCUGGAAUGCCCUCCUUCCCUUGACUCAUUCUUUGAAAUGAGUUCAGCUCAACAUCACCCCUCCUCUGAAUGCUGUCCCAGUGCUUUUCACAUCCAGUGACUUCCUUGUUCUGUGUGCCGCACUUGAGAAGGCACUCAGGUAUUAUCAAUUCUAAAAAGACUGCCAGCCUAUCACAAAUCCACAUGAAGUCCAGAGCCUUGAUACAGUUUUCCUGAAUUUUCUCAUCAGCUUAUAUCUAGACAAACUGAUAAUUGGGCAGGGGAUGAGUAUCUAUGACUCUUUUUUCCCUCUUGCCUCUUUCUCUCUUCCACCCCCCUCCCCCCAGCAGUCUUCUCCAUCUUGUCCAUCCCUCUGUCCUCUCUUCCAGGGCCCUGACUCCAACCUGGAAAUAGAAAGGGAAGGUUAUGAUGCCCAUUGCUCUUGGCCAUGCUGGAGGGGUAGCCACUGAUUUCUAUGCCUCCACCCCCCUGGGCCAUCCCCUAGAAUGGCGCCUGCGCCAUUGUUGGCCCAUAAUGGAUAUGCUGAAUAACAGACAUAAAAAAUUGCUCAAGCCAUUUGGAUUCUCCCAGGUGGAAAAUACAUUAGAUUUAUAAAGGUUUUUUUAAAAUUUUUUCCCCAUUUUUUUCUGUUGAUGAUAUUUCUAACCUCUUAGCACAACUUUGACAUGUAGUAUAGCGGACAUGUAUGAUUUUCCUUCACCAAGCCAGAGCAAUGACAAUAUUGCAUUCCCUGCAUGCGUGGACCCCCCUCCAAGUCAAUGAAUGUGACACUUCUGCUCUAUGUGAACUAUAGAUAAAGCAAUAUUGUUCUCUACCAGACGGUUCUAAGCUGGUUGGAUAUAACCCCAGAGCAGCCUGCGGCCCCCGUGCCACCCCACCCCGUGGGAAGGACCUAACUAAGAAAAAAUUUCAAAAAGAAGAAGGCACAAUAAGAGAUGGAGAGACUGUCUCUUUGGCUUGAGAUGUAGCGUCAACCAUGCCUGAAGCUAAGUUCUGCCUGGACUUCCCAGUCUUGAGAGCCAAUAAAUUUCCUUUGUCACUUAA
This is a long non-coding RNA of Neofelis nebulosa (Clouded leopard), 1318 nucleotides long. RefSeq lists it as uncharacterized. The transcript has 2 exons. The record is from RefSeq and is a predicted model, not a curated record. NCBI's taxonomy places the organism in Eukaryota, Metazoa, Chordata, Mammalia, Carnivora, Felidae.